RNAcentral lists this ribosomal RNA (253 nucleotides) under uncultured bacterium. RNAcentral's name for it is "partial 16S ribosomal RNA". It matches the Rfam family "Bacterial small subunit ribosomal RNA", at positions 524 to 776 of the family's 1533-position model. The record is from RNAcentral.
UACGUAGGCAGCGAGCGUUGUUCGGAGUUACUGGGCGUAAAGAGUGCGUAGGCGGUUUUCUAAGUUUGGUGUGAAAUCUCCCGGCUCAACUGGGAGGGUGCGCCGAAGACUGGAAGGCUUGAGUAUGGGAGAGGUAAGCGGAAUUCCUGGUGUAGCGGUGAAAUGCGUAGAUAUCAGGAGGAACACCUGCGGCGUAGACGGCUUACUGGACCAUAACUGACGCUGAGGCACGAAAGCGUGGGUAGCAAACAGG